AAGGAACUUCGUUCUUUAGCGGAGUAAUUCUUAACCCGUGUUUACUUUAUCUUUGUUGCUUUGGCGGGCCGCCUUCGGGCGUCGGCUCCGGCUGGUAGCGCCUGCCAGAGGAUUCCAACUCUUUUGUUUAGUGAUGUCUGAGUACUAUAUAAUAGUUA
This 158-nucleotide unclassified non-coding RNA is filed under the name uncultured Helotiales. RNAcentral's name for it is "sequence contains ITS1". Lineage: Eukaryota; Fungi; Ascomycota; Leotiomycetes; Helotiales. The record is from RNAcentral.